CAGCCUUUCAAGCUCCUCCAUCCAUGGGAUUUUCCAGGCAAGAGUACUGGAGUGGGGUGCCAUUUCCUUCUCCAGAAUUUAUAGCUAGUAAACCACUAUUCUAAUUUUUUGUCACUCACAGCUGAACCUAAUCCUAACUGACACACAUACUCAACUUUUCUGUUAAAGUUAGCCAUAAUGAGUUUCUAUGGUUCGAGAGCAAAGGAAACCAAACACCAAGCAAGGAAGGUAAACGCUUUGGAAAAGUUAAAGGAAGCUGAGGCAAAGUGCACAGGGCUUUAGAAAGAUAUUUCUAAACCACUACUGGCAGGGAAGUGGCGACGAUUAUGUAAGGAGAACCUAGGCAAGCCCAUUCAGUAUGCAGGCUGGAUUUCUAGGCACUGCAGAAAUUCUGAGCAGAGCUGACCUUGUAUAGGUGAGUGUUUAUAAGGUGGUUGAACUGUACUGUGGUUCUGCUCACAUCUGGUGAAGGAAAGAAAACAGCGGAUGCAGUGCUGUGCUGAGAAACAUUUAACAACUGCCUGGAGGUUGGGGGGAGUCAAAUUGGCUGCAUUUCCAGUUUCCAUGGUGUAAAUAUUCUCAUCAAGGUCACCUAAAAGCUACCAAUGUUAUGGCAGUUGGCUCACAAAAUUCAUGAAAACAUCACGAUCUGCUCUUGUGAGCUGGUCUGAGCUGGUAUGCGCUGGCUCCAGCACAUGGGCGAGGGGCAGGGGAGUUAAAAUGGCAAUUCAUGUAAUUAACCUCACUAGGUGCCAGGCACUGUGAGAGGCAUUUUACAUGUAUUAUCUUCCUUAAUCUUUUUACUUUUUAAAGGGGUUCCCUGGUGGCUCAGUGGUAAAGAAUCUGCCUGUGAAUGUGGGAGACAGGUUCGAUCCCUGAUUCAGGAAGUCUUUUGGAGGAAGAAAUGGCAACCCACUCCAGGAUUCCUGCCUGGAAAAUCCCAUGGACAGAGGAGCCUGAUGGGCUACAGUCUAUGGGGUCGCAAAAGAGUCGGACAUGACUCACCUACUAAACAACAAGUAUCCUUUUACUCAACCCUAAGAGACUAUAAACUUCUGGAGGCCUGUUUUUCUACCUGUCUGCCUUCUGCUGCUCACAACUGGAUCACAUUUGACAAUCUACUGACGACCUGAGUGCAGAGAAUAGCCUCCAUCAUUUCUGUGACCCUUGGCCACAUAUCUCCACCGCCCUCCUGUGUCCUGGGCCACUUGUGGGAGGACUGGAUGAGAUAAUGGGUGCAGAACACCCUGGAUUGGUUGGUUCCAUGUGGCCUGUGAGAGAAAGAACUCAACGGCUUAGUUCCCCCUUCAACCUCUUGUCUUCCCUUUCGCAGAAGUUUGGGUCAUGUAUGUGAUCAGAAACACAUUUCCCUUUUUCAAUAAUAGGUUUCUGAAGAAGUGGUUUCUAGACCUCUGAAUGGGUGGUAUGAGACAUCAUCUAAGGAGAACAGGCGGAUGAUGACGGCUUUAAAAGUACUGAAAGCAAAUGAAAGCCAUUCGCUAUCAGUGAACGUUUUCACGGGGCGGCAGUUUUCCUUCUCUCCCUCCACUCGCCAUCUAGCCUGGUGCUGUCCAAUAGAACUCCGUGAUGAUGGAAAUGCACUGUAUCUGUGCUUCCCGAUACAGUAACCAAUGGCCACCUGAGCCUAUUGUAUGCUUGAAGUGUGGCUGAUGUGAAUGAGGAACUGAAUUUUAAAUUGUACUUAAUUUUAAUCAGUUGAAAUUUAAAUAGCCACAUGCUACCAUAUGGGACAGCACAGGGCUAAAUUAAGAGAACCUGGUUCUUUUUGUUCAUUUAUUCAUUCAUCAUUCAACCAAAAUCUUCUGAGUUCUGAGAAUAAGUUAGGCAUAGUACUCAGCCCCCACAGGGGCUUCAGUCUCUUAUCUGGAAGAGCUCAACAUUUGUUGGAGGAAACGAUCUUUUGAGAUGAACUUGAGACUUUCACGUGUCUUGUGGCUACACCACGUCCUCCUAAGAAAAGUAGCUGGAGAUAUCUUAGGCUUGGGUCACCCUGCGGAUGUCCUUACCUCCCCUACUUCCCCUGCUGGGUUAGGAUCUUUGACCCAGCUAGACACAUCUCCCAAGGGCUGGCAAGAGGCCAUCGUUGGCCAGAGGUGAGACUACCCAACACGGCUGCCCAACAAGGUUGUUCUACCUUGGGGCAUGUGUGCAUAGCCCAUUCAGAGUUUGAAAGUGAGACCCAAGAAAGGAGGCAGACAUGAGAGCAGCGUGAAACCUCAAAGACACAAGAGCCAGGGCAGUGAGCCAGGCGAUCGUGUUAAUAAUGAGGACUGUUGAGAGGCAGGGAAGUGUAGAGUUUGGCUGCUUUGUCUCUGGAGCCAACUUCCUGGAACUCAAUGCCAGCUCUAGCCCUCACAGCUGUGCAGUUUUUGUGCUGUCUCCUCGUCUAUGAAAUGGAUAUUGUAAAGGCCUUCUUCUGAGACUUAUCACGAAAAUUAGAUGAACUAGAACAUGAAACUGAACGUGAACAUGGAACUGAUUCUCCAGCUUCUACUCUCUGAUCGAUGUGGUACAAUGCUGGAUUGUGGGAUGAGCUAAAGUAGAGUCUGAAUCUAACUCCCACUAGGUAAUCUUGAGAAAGUGAACUGCCUUUUGGAACCUCUCAGUUUCUUCUACGGUAAAAUGAGGAGACAGACAAGGAUGACAGUGGGGGUUUGUGAAGGUUUAAUGGAUUGAUUCCUCGGUAGUGUUCAGGACAGUGCCUGGGAAGCACUGGGGGGCCCAAACAGUGUGGGCCCACGUUCCUUUACACUCCGUCCCAGGGAGUGCAAAGCCAUGUGGCAGACACAGAGGCUGGGGAGAGCUACUGAACCACAGCGGGGUCUGGGAGGCCGGGAGGCAGGAGGUGCUCCUGGAGCUGCUUCAACAGCAGGGUGGCCCUCAAAUCCACUGUGGCCUCCUGAGGACAUGACAGGCAUCUCAGGGCGCAGCGGGUUCUGGCCCAUCCCUGUCCCCUGACGGAACCUGUGUGUGAACCUCUUCCCUGACAAGGAAAACAUUUUGACUUGGCAGAUCUGAUGCAAGAACUUAAACCAGGGAUGUUUUGAUGUAGUUUCUUAGAACAGCCCUGUCAGACUGUAAAAUGGCUAAUGAUGGCUAUUUCUUUCUUUCUUUUUAUUUAUUUAUUUUUUUUGCUGCACCCCACAGCAUGUGGGACUUCUGUAAUCAGGGGGACCAGGGAUGAAACCCAUGCCCCCUGGAGCGGCAGCAUGGAAUUUUAACUGCUGGACCACCAAGGAAGCUCAGCCAUUUCUUAUAAACUUAAAUAUAUCCUGAGUUAUACUACUCCUAGAUAUUUAUUUAACAGAAAUAAAAACACACAUCCACAAAAAGAGUUGUAUAUG
Molecule: long non-coding RNA, 3365 nt
Filed under: Bos indicus x Bos taurus (hybrid cattle)
Lineage: Eukaryota; Metazoa; Chordata; Mammalia; Artiodactyla; Bovidae
Description: lncRNA (ENSBIXG00005007024.1)
Source: RNAcentral